This 497-nucleotide ribosomal RNA is filed under the name uncultured bacterium. RNAcentral's name for it is "partial 16S ribosomal RNA". It matches the Rfam family "Bacterial small subunit ribosomal RNA", at positions 28 to 507 of the family's 1533-position model. The record is from RNAcentral.
GAUGAACGCUGGCGGCGUGCCUAAUACAUGCAAGUCGAGCGAACGGACGCGAAGCUUGCUUCUCUGAUGUUAGCGGCGGACGGGUGUGUAACACGUGUAUCACCUACCUAUCAUACUGGGAUAACUUCGGGAAACCGUAGCUAAUCCCGGAUAAUCUUUUGAACCGCGUUGUUCAAAAGUAAAAGACGGUCUUGCUGUCACUUCUCGCUGGAUCCGCGCUGCAUUAGCUAGUUGGUAAGGUAACGGCUUACCAAGGCAACGAUGCAUAGCCGACCUGAGAGGGUGAUCGGCGACACUGGAACUGGGACAGGGUCCAGACUCCUGAGGGAGGCAGCAGUAGGGAAUCUUACGCAGUGGGCGAAAGCCUGACGGAGCAACGCCGCGUGAGUGAUGAAGGUCUUCGGAUCGUAAAACUCUGUUAUUAGGGAAGAACAUAUGUGUAAGGAACUGUGCACAUCGUGACGGUACCUAAUCAGAAAGCCACGGCUAACUACGUG